GUCGAGAAUCUUUCACAAUGGGGGCAACCCUGAUGGAGCGACGCCGCGUGGAGGAUAAGGUCUUCGGAUUGUAAACUCCUGUCAUGCGUGAACAAGGUUGCUCGGUUAAUACCUGGGCAAAUUGAUGGUAACGCAAGAGGAAGAGACGGCUAACUCUGUGCCAGCAGCCGCGGUAAUACAGAGGUCUCAAGCGUUGUUCGGAAUCACUGGGCGUAAAGGGUGCGUAGGUGGCGUGGUAAGUCAGAUGUGAAAGCCCGGGGCUCAACCUCGGAACUGCAUCCGAUACUGCCAUGCUAGAGUACUGGAGAGGUGACUAGAAUUCUCGGUGUAGCAGUGAAAUGCGUAGAUAUCGAGAGGAAUACCAAAGGCGUAGGCAGGUCACUGGACAGUUACUGACACUGAGGCACGAAGGCCAGGGGAGCGAACGGGAUUAGAAACCCGUGUAGUCC
RNAcentral lists this ribosomal RNA (449 nucleotides) under uncultured bacterium. RNAcentral describes it as "bacterial SSU rRNA". It matches the Rfam family "Bacterial small subunit ribosomal RNA", at positions 354 to 796 of the family's 1533-position model. The record is from RNAcentral.